Molecule: ribosomal RNA, 503 nt
Filed under: uncultured bacterium
Lineage: Bacteria
Description: bacterial SSU rRNA
Rfam family: Bacterial small subunit ribosomal RNA
Source: RNAcentral
AUUGAACGCUGGCGGCAUGCUUUACACAUGCAAGUCGAACGGCAGCACGGGGGCAACCCUGGUGGCGAGUGGCGAACGGGUGAGUAAUGCAUCGGAACGUGCCCAGUAGUGGGGGAUAACACAUCGAAAGAUGUGCUAAUACCGCAUACGCACUACGGUGGAAANCGGGGGAUCGUAAGACCUCGCGCUAUUGGAGCGGCCGAUGUCCGAUUAGCUAGUUGGUGGGGUAAUGGCCUACCAAGGCAACGAUCGGUAGCUGGUCUGAGAGGAUGAUCAGCCACACUGGGACUGAGACACGGCCCAGACUCCUACGGGAGGCAGCAGUGGGGAAUUUUGGACAAUGGGGGCAACCCUGAUCCAGCCAUGCCGCGUGAGUGAAGAAGGCCUUCGGGUUGUAAAGCUCUUUCGGUGGGAACGAAAUGGCGCGGGCUAACACCGCGCGUCGAUGACGGUACUCACAGAAGAAGCACCGGCUAACUACGUGCCAGCCGCCGCGGUAAUUC